Mesoplodon densirostris (Blainville's beaked whale) is the source of this 434-nucleotide long non-coding RNA. RefSeq lists it as uncharacterized. The transcript is spliced from 3 exons. NCBI's taxonomy places the organism in Eukaryota, Metazoa, Chordata, Mammalia, Artiodactyla, Ziphiidae. The record is from RefSeq and is a predicted model, not a curated record.
UAAGCGGUGAGACCUGAAGCUCCAGAGGGGCCAGGCUGUGCAGGCCGAGGAGAUGCUGUCUCGCGGUCUUUGUCCGGUUGAGAACGUGACUUGUUCCUCAGUCUUACAGCGACUGACAAGUGGCGCCCGAACAGGGACCUGAGUACAUGGGCUGUUGAGAGGGACCCCGGAAAUAUUUCGCGUGCAGACAUAUACUGGGGACACUAAGGAUCCUCAUUGGAUACCUGAGCGCCUCGUGAGAUUCUAUGGAUCCGGACCAGAUGGUGAAUUUCCUCCCCUGCAAUAUGGAUCCGGACUGGAUGGUGAACUCUCUCCCCCACCAUGUGAAGAGAAUGCGGCUCGACGACACUCCCAAUCCUCCCAAGAAACCAGCUCUCCCAGAUCGUCAGUGUCGUCUCUCCCACGCCACGUGGAUGGCCAACCCUCCAACAUGG